AGUGAACGCUGGCGGUAGGCCUAACACAUGCAAGUCGAACGGCAGCACAGUAAGAGCUUGCUCUUACGGGUGGCGAGUGGCGGACGGGUGAGGAAUACAUCGGAAUCUACUUUUUCGUGGGGGAUAACGUAGGGAAACUUACGCUAAUACCGCAUACGACCUACGGGUGAAAGCAGGGGAUCUUCGGACCUUGCGCGAUUGAAUGAGCCGAUGUCGGAUUAGCUAGUUGGCGGGGUAAAGGCCCACCAAGGCGACGAUCCGUAGCUGGUCUGAGAGGAUGAUCAGCCAAACUGGAACUGAGACACGGUCCAGACUCCUACGGGAGGCAGCAGUGGGGAAUAUUGGACAAUGGGCGCAAGCCUGAUCCAGCCAUACCGCGUGGGUGAAGAAGGCCUUCGGGUUGUAAAGCCCUUUUGUUGGGAAAGAAAAGCAGCAGGUUAAUACCCCGCUGUUCUGACGGUACACAAAGAAUAAGCACCGGCUAACUUCGUG
This 492-nucleotide ribosomal RNA is filed under the name uncultured bacterium. Its description in RNAcentral is "partial 16S ribosomal RNA". It matches the Rfam family "Bacterial small subunit ribosomal RNA", at positions 29 to 507 of the family's 1533-position model. The record is from RNAcentral.